This 876-nucleotide long non-coding RNA is filed under the name Meleagris gallopavo (turkey). Its description in RNAcentral is "lncRNA (ENSMGAG00000018823.1)". The record is from RNAcentral. Lineage: Eukaryota; Metazoa; Chordata; Aves; Galliformes; Phasianidae.
GUUGUACCUGCAGAGACUUCUUUAAGGUACAGAUGUGAACAUUGAUUUUGGCUGCCAAGAUCUCGUAGGUGCUUUUGCUUCUGGUGAGCACUGAAUUACUGGAAUUAAAAGUUACACUGUACAUUAGAUUUCAAUAAUUUGUUGGUGGCAAUGCAGCCCAAAGGCUUGUAACAGUGUGUACUGAGGACUGAGUAAUACUGUGAGGUCCUGUAUCUGCCUUUUCCUCCAGGAAAACAUGGAGGGUUCAUCUUCCCCUGGGGAUUCAUCUUCACUACUUCAAAAGUGAUGAACUGCAAGCUUCUAUCUGCACAGACUGAAGGGCCAGUGCUGUGAUGGGAUGAAGCUGGGAAUAAAAUGUUUGGAAAGUCAAAGAGAAGCCUUCCCUUCCUUGCUGCAAGUAGAAGGGAACAGGCAUGGACUAACUGCUUUCUUAAGCAAAGCAUGUGCUGAAGAACUUCCUAAAUUCCAAAAACGUGCAAAUGUGUUCUGCCCUGAAAGCUUGCUGAUGGAAAGGGACCAGUAAACACCUGUGACCUGGCCUCAGUUUUGGUAGGGUAUUGUGGGUGGCAGAAGAACACGUCAGGGUAGAAAUCUCCAUGAAGAAGAUGAUGGUACACAGGUGUUGAAAGCUCUGUUUUUGCAGGGUGUCAUCAGAAAUCUCCCAUCAGAAUUUGUGCAAUUUUAUCACAUCACUCAAAAACCAGCAAUCUUUCACCUUCUUACCGAUGCUGUUAAGAACACUUUUGCUCUCUGAAGUAGAAAUGCUAAGUCACAGUUUGAAGCAGUGAUUGGGCACCUGGUGGGAUGGCAGGGCCAACACAGGGGAGCUCAGGUGCAUGCAAUGUAUCUGAGUGACCAGAAAGGAGUGAGGCCAGG